Molecule: long non-coding RNA, 1874 nt
Organism: Bos taurus (domestic cattle)
Lineage: Eukaryota; Metazoa; Chordata; Mammalia; Artiodactyla; Bovidae
Source: Ensembl
CUAGACAGAAGCUGGCAUUGCCUCCCCUCCUGCGAACUUCAUUCCUCUGGAUCCUUCUCUUGUUGAUCCUGCUUCGCUUUUGGUUGGAUUUCUUCAGAAACAGCUGUCUGGUGUUCCAGGGUUCUCUGCUCUGCUGUGGUCCGCCUUGCUCACCGAAGAUCGCCGCUGUGGUCGCUCCUGGGCCCUGGGAACCAGGGAGACUCGAGAGAUUCAGGUUCAAUCCCUUGGUCAGGGAGAUCCCCUGGGGAAGGAAAUGGCAGUCCACUCCAGUAUUGUUGCCUGGAAAAUUCCAUGGAUAGAGGAGCCUGGUGGUCUACAGGAAGUACUCUGGAGCUAAUGCAUGGGGGCUGGGAAAGACCCUGCCUGUGGGUCUCUGGCACCCCAUUGACAUCAGAGCACCGAGUGGAGGGUUGCAGACUGCGGGGCAUCCAAAGGACCCAAGACAGGUUGGCUCUCCCCACAGUGCUUCUUCAUACCAUGUGGACUCCUACGAGGACAAUGAGCAUCACAACUUCCUUUGAAUUUGAUCUGGACAGGCCUGAUAAUCUAUGUGAGCCUGCUUCUGCUGACUCCAAAAGUCCUGAGUCUGCCGUUUGAUCCUCAAGACAAUGCCUUCCUGUCCUGGGCUCAUUCCUAUGCUGCCUUCCACAAUCAGUCUAACUGCUGGGUCUGCAGAGUGCUUCCCUUUUCAUCGGAGGGCUUCCCUAUGGUGGGCGUCUCCACUUCAAGGAAAGGACUUCCUCCAAGUCUGUGAAUACCUUCGACAACAACAAUCAUAUGUGAUGCCUCUUCUUAAUCUGAUGACAUCUAACAAUCCUAAAAUGGACUGGUGCAACACUCUGUACCUUAACUGUGGACAUAAUGUGACUUCUAACUUUGCUGAUUGUUCUGCUUUUGCUGUUUGCUCCCUGCAUCUGUAACUGUGUAACUGGAUUUGUUUCUAGCUGCAUGAAGGCUUUUAAGUUACAAAUGGUUGCUCACACUCUUGCGACUUCAGCAGCUUCCUCGAACUACUACUUGGGGCCCCUGGAUCAGAGAUCCUCAAUAUGAGGCUUAUGAGAACAUGUUGCAUCACCAGUUUAGGGAAGAUGCCCCUUCUCAGCUCAGAAGCAGUUACAGAAUGAGAACAAUGCCCCUUUCCCUAGGCAACAUAAUUCUCCUAAAAGAAAAGGGGAGAAUGAGAGGGUAACAGGCAGGAAAGCUAGGGGUGUCCAAACAGAGGAAAUAGGCUGCAACUGUCAGACAUUUUUUAUCUCUCUGUUAAGCGGCAGGAGGAAACAAAUUACGAGUGUGAGAUUUUUGGCUUCCCUGGUGGCUCAGUUGGUAAAGAAUCCCCCUGCAAUGCGGAAGACCUGGGUUUGAUCUCUGGGUUGGGGACAUCCCCUGGAGAAGGGAAUGGCUACCCACUCCAGUAUUCUGGCCUGGAGAAUUCCACGGACUGUAUAGUCCAUGGAGUCUCAAAGAGUUGGACACGACUGAGCGACUUUAAAAUGUAAAAGAAGUACUCGCUUUACACAUGCAUAUCUAUGUCCACAAUAAGCACAACACACACACACACACACACACACACACAGUGUCAUUAUCUUUUGGAGUACAAUGGACACAAAUUGUAUUAUGAAUCUAGCUGUAAUUUCCUCUUACUCAGGUAGAAGAUACUCAUCAUCUUUGAGUAAAAUUGCUCUUCUAUGGGCUCAUUGUUCAUGCAAAAGUCAAAAUUCUAUCUUAGAAUCAACAAAUUGAAACUGUAGAUGCUAAACAACUCUGAAUAAAAUCAUCAGAGCUGAAUUUUGUGAGCAAAUCGAAUCUCUGUGGGGUUAUGGUGGGGUUUGAGUGAGGAUAUGAUGAAUGAUAUCUUUCAGUGAGAAAAAGCGGGG